Molecule: ribosomal RNA, 941 nt
Filed under: Virgibacillus pantothenticus
Lineage: Bacteria; Bacillati; Bacillota; Bacilli; Caryophanales; Bacillaceae
Description: bacterial SSU rRNA
Rfam family: Bacterial small subunit ribosomal RNA
Source: RNAcentral
GCAGUAGGGAAUCUUCCNCAAUGGACGAAAGUCUGACGGAGCAACGCCGCGUGAGCGAUGAAGGUUUUCGGAUCGUAAAACUCUGUUGUUAGGGAAGAACAAGUGCCANNCGAAUAGGUUGGNACCUUGACGGNACCUAACCAGAANGCCCCGGCUAACUACGUGCCAGCAGCCGCGGUAAUACGUAGGGGGCAAGCGUUGUCCGGAAUUAUUGGGCGUAAAGCGCGCGCAGGCGGUCCUUUAAGUCUGAUGUGAAAGCCCACGGCUUAACCGUGGAGGGCCAUUGGAAACUGGGGGACUNGAGUACAGAAGAGGAGAGUGGAAUUCCACGUGUAGCGGUGAAAUGCGUAGAGAUGUGGAGGAACACCAGUGGCGAAGGCGACUCUCUGGUCUGUAACUGACGCUGAGGUGCGAAAGCGUGGNUAGCGAACAGGAUUAGAUACCCUGGUAGUCCACGCCGUAAACGAUGAGUGCUAGGUGUUAGGGGGUUUCCGCCUCUUAGUGCUGAAGUUAACGCAUUAAGCACUCCGCCUGGGGAGUACGGCCGCAAGGCUGAAACUCAAAAGAAUUGACGGGGACCCGCACAAGCGGUGGAGCAUGUGGUUUAAUUCGAAGCAACGCGAAGAACCUUACCAGGUCUUGACAUCCUCUGACGCCCCUAGAGAUAGGGAGUUCCCUUCGGGGACAGAGUGACAGGUGGUGCAUGGUUGUCGNCAGCUCGUGUCGUGAGAUGUUGGGUUAAGUCCCGCAACGAGCGCAACCCUUGAUCUUAGUNGCCAGCAUCUAGNUGGGCACUCUAAGGUGACUGCCGGUGACAAACCGGAGGAAGGUGGGGAUGACGUCAAAUCAUCAUGCCCCUUAUGACCUGGGCUACACACGUGCUACAAUGGAUGGAACAAAGGGCAGCGAAGCCGCGAGGCCAAGCAAAUCCCAUAAAACCA